CUUAAAUGGGAUAAACAGUGGUGUCCAGGCUCCAGCGUUUGCGAGGGGGGAGGACAGUGGUCCACUGUCUCCCCUGGUCUUGCGGGGUCACAGUGCUCGUGGUGCCUGCACACGGCUGGUCCAGGGCACAUCUGGGUUGUCUCUGUCAUCUAAACGGUUAUGAACAGCUAACAGGUUGGGGUGUGUGACGGGUUGAUGCACGCCCCCCCCCAAGAUAUGUCUACAACCCUGCGCCCUGCACAUGUUAC
This 248-nucleotide long non-coding RNA is filed under the name Fukomys damarensis (Damara mole-rat). RNAcentral describes it as "lncRNA (ENSFDAG00000030390.1)". Lineage: Eukaryota; Metazoa; Chordata; Mammalia; Rodentia; Bathyergidae. The record is from RNAcentral.